UGCCAGUCCUUGGAGGAGUUUCCAGGCUGUGAUAAGACCUUAUUUGUGUUUUUGACAGAAUUUGGACAGGAGAAGUCACAUCAGGGAGACCAGAGACUAGAGUAUUGCAUCAUAGAGGAAAGACACUGAUGACAUGAACUCAGGGGAGCAGUGGAACUGGAGGCCUGGGAGCUUGGGACGUGUUCUCUGGGUGAAGUUGGCCGGCCAGCUGAUGACCUACACCAGUGGCAUUCACUCCUCAUGUGUCCCCCAGGAAUUCAUAGUGUGUGUCAUCAGCAGUGGCCACUGCCCUUGCAGGGGAUCCCGUCCUGCAAACACACAUCUUCUGCACACUCAUGCGAAGUCCCGUUGAACCACUCCGGAAGAUCCCAUUCACUGGACUCUUGUCUCCACACUUCGACCGAUGGCAUGAUCUGGCAGUUUUUGCAGCAAAGCCCCAAAACACAAGCAGCCCCAGGUUUGAAAGUGCAAUUUGCAAAGCAACAUGGAUCUUUUCACACGAUGGCCAACACCUGCAGUGUCCAUUGUAAUGAAGUUUUCUUGAGUCCAGAUCUCAAGUCCCACUACAGUGACAAUGGCACCCAGUGGAAUAUAAAAUGCAUCAGCUUUUUGAUACAGCAUGAGUACUUCCUCCUGCACAUUUGAGAAACCAAGGCUACUAAUACUAUGAGGAACUUGUUGGGAAUUGGAGAAAAGGUGACUUUCAUUAUGCUUUAGCAAAAAGACUGGCAGCAUUUUGCCUUUUCUCUUCAGAUCUAUGGAACAUUGAACUUGAGAGAAAUGAUUUAGAGUAUCUGGUGGAAGAAAUUUCUAAGCAGCAAAGCAUUCAAGAUAUGAUGUGGGUGCUGUUAAAGACAUUCAGUUUUAUGUAUUCACAAAGAUAUGGUUUGGAAUUGGAAC
RNAcentral lists this long non-coding RNA (900 nucleotides) under Pan paniscus (pygmy chimpanzee). RNAcentral describes it as "lncRNA (ENSPPAG00000045148.1)". The record is from RNAcentral. Lineage: Eukaryota; Metazoa; Chordata; Mammalia; Primates; Hominidae.